This 450-nucleotide ribosomal RNA is filed under the name uncultured marine bacterium. RNAcentral's name for it is "bacterial SSU rRNA". It matches the Rfam family "Bacterial small subunit ribosomal RNA", at positions 8 to 454 of the family's 1533-position model. The record is from RNAcentral.
AGAGUUUGAUCAUGGCUCAGGAUGAACGCUAGCGGCAGGCCUAACACAUGCAAGUCGAACGGUAACAUGAGAGCUUGCUCUUGAUGACGAGUGGCGCACGGGUGCGUAACGCGUAUGCAACCUACCUUUUACUGAGGGAUAGCCCAGAGAAAUUUGGAUUAAUACCUCAUAGUAUCAUAAAUGUUCAUGCAUUAAUGAUUAAAACUUCGGUGGUAAAAGAUGGGCAUGCGUAAGAUUAGCUAGUUGGUAAGGUAACGGCUUACCAAGGCGACGAUCUUUAGGGGGCCUGAGAGGGUGGUCCCCCACACUGGUACUGAGACACGGACCAGACUCCUACGGGAGGCAGCAGUGAGGAAUAUUGGUCAAUGGACGAAAGUCUGAACCAGCCAUGCCGCGUGCAGGAAGACGGCCCUAUGGGUUGUAAACUGCUUUUAUAUAGGAAGAAACUUC